UAAUUUAGUUUAAAUAAAAUAACAAUUUGUGGAAUUGUAGAUAUGAUAUCAAC
Molecule: transfer RNA, 53 nt
Filed under: Tetragnatha maxillosa
Lineage: Eukaryota; Metazoa; Arthropoda; Arachnida; Araneae; Tetragnathidae
Description: tRNA-His
Source: RNAcentral